UAGGAAGUGGUGUAGUGGAAGCACUGAGAAUUUUGAUUUCUCCAGGUAGGGUUCAAGUCCCUUCUUUCUAA
This 71-nucleotide transfer RNA is filed under the name Sillago panhwari. Its description in RNAcentral is "tRNA-Gln". It matches the Rfam family "tRNA". From Rfam's summary of the family: Transfer RNA (tRNA) molecules are approximately 80 nucleotides in length. Their secondary structure includes four short double-helical elements and three loops (D, anti-codon, and T loops). RNAcentral also lists the same sequence under 1 other name. Lineage: Eukaryota; Metazoa; Chordata; Actinopteri; Sillaginidae. The record is from RNAcentral.